GCGGGUGUAGCCAAGUGGUUAAGGCAUCGGAUUGUGGUUCCGACACUCGCGGGUUCGAGUCCCGUCAUCCGCC
This 73-nucleotide transfer RNA is filed under the name Spirulina sp. SIO3F2. Its description in RNAcentral is "tRNA-His". It matches the Rfam family "tRNA". From Rfam's summary of the family: Transfer RNA (tRNA) molecules are approximately 80 nucleotides in length. Their secondary structure includes four short double-helical elements and three loops (D, anti-codon, and T loops). Lineage: Bacteria; Bacillati; Cyanobacteriota; Cyanophyceae; Spirulinales; Spirulinaceae. The record is from RNAcentral.